UAGCUUGCUAGGUGGAUUAGUGGCGCACGGGUGAGUAACGCAUAGAUAACAUGCCCUUUAGUUUGGGAUAGCCACUAGAAAUGGUGAUUAAUACCAAAUACUACCCUACGGGGGAAAGAUUUAUCGCUAAAGGAUUGGUCUAUGUCCUAUCAGCUUGUUGGUGAGGUAAAGGCUCACCAAGGCUAUGACGGGUAUCCGGCCUGAGAGGGUGAACGGACACACUGGAACUGAGACACGGUCCAGACUCCUACGGGAGGCAGCAGUAGGGAAUAUUGCUCAAUGGGCGCAAGCCUGAAGCAGCAACGCCGCGUGGAGGAUGAAGGUUUUAGGAUUGUAAACUCCUUUUGUCAGAGAAGAUCAUGACGGUAUCUCACGAAU
Molecule: ribosomal RNA, 378 nt
Filed under: uncultured Helicobacter sp.
Lineage: Bacteria; Pseudomonadati; Campylobacterota; Epsilonproteobacteria; Campylobacterales; Helicobacteraceae
Description: bacterial SSU rRNA
Rfam family: Bacterial small subunit ribosomal RNA
Source: RNAcentral